This is a long non-coding RNA of Syngnathoides biaculeatus (alligator pipefish), 382 nucleotides long. RefSeq lists it as uncharacterized. The transcript is spliced from 3 exons. The record is from RefSeq and is a predicted model, not a curated record. NCBI's taxonomy places the organism in Eukaryota, Metazoa, Chordata, Actinopteri, Syngnathiformes, Syngnathidae.
UCCUUGUUGCUCCAUUGUUUGGUUGUGUCGGUGUUACAGAAAUUAUAUCACUAGUCAUAUUGUGUUUCCAGUUGUAGGUAAGUUUUUCUUGAAAAUUAAAUAUCAUUUUGACACUCCCUAAUGUGGCACGGUGGAGCAACUGGUUAGAGCAGGGGUGCUCAGACUUUAUUACCUCAAGAGCUUCUUUUCAAGCACCCAGCCUCUCGCGAGCUACCGGGGGUGACGACGGUGAUGACGAUGCUCCCAAACUGUUUCAAGAAUUACAUGAUGGGCCCACACACCUUAUGUUGCCCACAAUGCUUGAGCUGUGCAGGUUGACCCAAUUAAGUGCUCAGUUUUCCCAAAGCAUCAGAAGGAAACACAACUGAGAGACGUAAAGGAG